RNAcentral lists this long non-coding RNA (232 nucleotides) under Lathyrus oleraceus (garden pea). RNAcentral describes it as "Pisum sativum (pea) long non-coding RNA (PSAT_LNC000361)". The record is from RNAcentral. Lineage: Eukaryota; Viridiplantae; Streptophyta; Magnoliopsida; Fabales; Fabaceae.
AAAUUUUAAAGUUGAGAGUUGAAAAGAUCUGACAAAUGGGCUGCAAUCCAAUGGACAAGAAUGUCAUAUAGAAACCCAAAUUUACCUUGGACUUUAGAAUCAAGCAACAAACAAUUCACAAAUAUCAAGUUGAAGAGCAAGACAUCAAAUAAAGAUAGUCACAUCCAAGCUUAGCAACUUCAUGAUUUUCUUCAAAAUUUGCCCAUGCAUCAGAUGACUUCAAAGAUGGCAU